CCCCGUGGUGCAUUAGCUAGUUGGUAAGGUAAGGCUUACCAAGGCGAUGAUGCAUAGCCCGAGUUGAGAGACUGAUCGGGCCACAUUGGGGACUGAGACACGGGGCCCAAACUCCUACGGGGGGAGGGGCAGCAGUAGGGGGAAUCUUCCACAAUGGACGCAAGUCUGAUGGAGCAACGCCGCGUGAGUGAAGAAGGUUUUCGGAUCGUAAAGCUCUGUUGUUGGUGAAGAAGGAUAGAGGUAGUAACUGGCCUUUAUUUGACGGUAAUCAACCAGAAAGUCACGGCUAACUACGUGCCAGCAGCCGCGGUAAU
This 314-nucleotide ribosomal RNA is filed under the name uncultured Lactobacillus sp. RNAcentral's name for it is "bacterial SSU rRNA". It matches the Rfam family "Bacterial small subunit ribosomal RNA", at positions 229 to 524 of the family's 1533-position model. Lineage: Bacteria; Bacillati; Bacillota; Bacilli; Lactobacillales; Lactobacillaceae. The record is from RNAcentral.